Molecule: transfer RNA, 76 nt
Filed under: Helicobacter sp.
Lineage: Bacteria; Pseudomonadati; Campylobacterota; Epsilonproteobacteria; Campylobacterales; Helicobacteraceae
Description: tRNA-Thr
Rfam family: tRNA
About the family: Transfer RNA (tRNA) molecules are approximately 80 nucleotides in length. Their secondary structure includes four short double-helical elements and three loops (D, anti-codon, and T loops).
Source: RNAcentral
GCUGGUGUAGCUCAGUUGGUAGAGCAGCUGCCUUGUAAGCAGCAGGCCGGGGGUUCGAGUCCCUUGACCAGCUCCA